RNAcentral lists this long non-coding RNA (7930 nucleotides) under Oryza sativa (Asian cultivated rice). RNAcentral describes it as "long non-coding RNA (OSAT_LNC000553)". Lineage: Eukaryota; Viridiplantae; Streptophyta; Magnoliopsida; Poales; Poaceae. The record is from RNAcentral.
CUAAUGUUUCACCCUCACAGUGCUUCUGCAAGAACUUGCGCAAACCCUUGGUAGGCUUGCUGUCAAUAAUGAGGGUUGCAGCAGAAAGGGCAUCAGAUGUGUUCUCAAACUUGUUGAAAGCCUUCAGCUCAACCACCUAAAUAUAGUUGAUUUGUUUUGUCAGGAAAGAAAAUCAACUGAAAAGAACAAAAUAAAUAGCAGUAAUAGGAACAAAUGGAUAGACUCAUUGCAAUUCGGCGUAAAGUAACAUGACUUCUGUACAUGACAAUGUUCUCCACAUAAUGUCAUAAACUCAAUGUGCACAAAUUUAUUUGUCGAAUCAAUCUAUAGACAUCGGACGGACAGAAUAUGUGCACAAUAGGAGGCAAACUAAACCAUUACAUCUCUCUCCCCUGAUAACCAUAACACAUUGGAAAGGAAAUUACAGUUCAGAACAUGGUAGGAUUAGUCAGUUUUUUUUUGUUUCUCGAAAACCACUUUGCAUCUAUCAAAAUCAUAUCCCCAAUUAGCAAGGCAAAAUCAGCUAAGCUAAAACAUAUGUAGUACUCACCAACCUACAGAAGCCAUUGGUCCUUGUGCUAAUUUAACUGACUCCAUCGACAUGUGUCAAAUCAUGCAUUAACGCUCUUAAUAAACAAAAAAAAAGAGAAAAUUUUGUGCUGUAAGGAAGAAAAGCACAAACCUUUCUCGCCGAGUCAGACGUCGUGAACUCCUUCCAUAAAUCCUAAAAAAAACAACACAAAAUGCGUUAGCACGAUUAGUCCACUUAACACUCCAUAGAAAGUCAAACCAACAGCUGAAGCGGCGGCGGCGGCGGAAGACUCACCUCGACCUUGUCGAGCUUCCCCUCGUCGAGCACCUUGAAGAGGGCGAACCCCGCGGGCGUCUCGAACAGCACCAGCAUCUCUCUCACCGCCCGUGUCCCGCAACUACUAGAUAACCCCCCCCCCCCCCACCAAAUCAAAACCCCAACCUCAAACCUCCACGCUCAAACCGAGCAGCAGCAGCAGCAAAAAAAAAAAAAAAAAAAAAGGAUGGCGCGCGCAAACCUUGGGUCGAUUCGAUUCGACGACGGGAGAGGAAAGCGCGAAGCGUACGUUCCCGGCUGCGGUGAGACGGGGAUGGAGGGGAGAUGGCACCGCCGCCGCCGCCGCCGCGGCGAGGGUUUAGCGCGAGGAGUUCGGCUGCGGCGAGGCGGGGGAGAGGGGAGAGGGAGAGAGCCGGCGCCGCAAGGGUUUUAGGGCUUAGGCUUUGGGGAAAUUUAUAGUGGAGAGUAGUUGAGAACUGGGGGCCCAUCUCGCCGUUGGUUUGGUGGGGCGGAGAUCGUCAGCCGUUGGAUGGCUUAUUAGGUCGGGGACUCAGGGUUGCAAUCCGUUUGAUUAUUAUGGAGACAGCUGUAUUGCAAAAAUGGGGAACAUGUGACGGGUGGGCAAAAGUGACCACAAACAGAAAACCAGUGGAAAUGAUCGAUGCCGAAAUUUUCGGUGAGAAAUUCGACCAGGUUUUUCCACUAACUGAAACUAUUAAGGUUAAUUCGGUCAUCGCUCUCAGUUAAUUGAAUGACCGAAUUUAACCGAAAUUAGAGGGGAAAGCCUAAAUAGUAAGAGUAUCUUAGUCUUGAUGGCUUGGUCAUAAGUUGAAAGUUAAAAUUGCUAGAUUAAGAACAACGUUUUGUGUUGCCCGGUGAAACCUUUGCCGACAACUUCCUUAGCCUACCCCUUUCCAUACACAAACCAACGAAGGCAAAGAUUCAGCUAAUGAUGAACAAACUCCAAGCACUUACGGGGUGGAAACCCAAGAUGUUAUUUCGAGAUGCUCGCAUUGCGUUGAUCAAUCACUUUCUUAUGGCGCUUUCCCUCUACUUCAUGUCAGUCCUUGAGCUUCUAGCCUGGCAAUUAAGGAGAUUGAGAAGAAGUACAAAAGGUUCAUUUGGAAGGGUGAUGCAUAAGCUUUCGAUGAAACUUGCCUGGUGGCACAAGAGAAGUUAUACUUGUCGAUAGAGUGUGAUGGUCAGAGCGUCUAGAAUCUAUUGACGCAUGGGAGUCGUGUGGCACGCUAGGUGGUGUUGGAUGCGUCAAACAUUGUCCAAUCGCCCAUGGGUUGCACUAGCGUCACCGCCAAAGGUUACUCACCUUCUCGCGGCGGGGUCAAAUUUGAUCCUCAGGAAACGAAGACUUGCAUCCGUUUGGAAGGAUCGUUGGUUGCCCAAGGGCAGCUCAAUCGAGAGUUGGACACCUAUUCUCACCUCCUUUGUCAAGAAACAGGAGGCCGCACAGUGGCAUUCGUGCUCUAGGACCAUGCAUGGUUUGCUGAUAUCAAAAGCGAGUUGUCCUUUCAGGUACUCGUGGAGUGCUUCAAGGUUUCGAUAUGAACGCGGAGGUGGUGUUGGAGCCCAGCACUCUUGAUUCCCUUCCUAUGGGCAGUAACGAUAAAUGGCGAAUUCUCGGGCAAAUCGGGCUAUCCGAUGCUUUAUUGUGGGCGAACUAUGUGUGCACUGGGCAAGAUCAUCUGGAACUGGAAGGCCUGAGCCCGAAGCGAUGCAAAGUUUUCAUGUUCCUCACUAUGCGUGGAGCUUGCCUCACCACCGACAAUUUGCAGUGACACGGGUGGCAUGUCACUUGGCAAACUGCUACUUUCUCUAUGGCAGAGAGUUAGAAUCAUGUGCACACAUCUUCCACAAUUGUGAGUUUACAGCGCAUGUGUGGGAGCGGGUGUGAAGCCGUCUUGGCUUUCCUUGCCCGCCGCCUUCUCCUAACCUAUCCGAUUGGUCGAUUGAGGCAUGGAAGAAGAUUGGCAAAACAAGACCGAAUAAUCCUUCAAUACGGAUGUAAAUUCAGUAACUUGGCUCAUUUGGAAGGAGCGAAAUGCGCAUGUCUGUGAACGGAAGACCACUUCGGCUAGGGCCCUAUGCACGGCGAUUGCGGACGAGUGAAAGACAUGGGAGGUGGUUGGCCUGCUGAAGCUGGCGGACACCAGAAGGCGCUAAGGUAAGUCUAUACUUAGGUAGUGGAAGCAUGUGUUUCAACGUGAGUUGAGCUACCUAGGAGUUCACCGUUGCUGACCGCAGUUAGCCUGGUGUAAGCAUUGUAAAUGUUUUUUCUCUCCCCCUUCUUAAUAAACUUCGGCUGGUUUUUGCCUUCCUGAUAAAAAUAAACUACUACGAUCCAUCUUGGUAAAUUAGUGUGUUAUAUAUUGUUUCCUAUUAUGUUAUUUGUUUGCCAAACAAUCAUAAAAGAGGAAGGUGCUGCCAAAUUUUGUUAUGGUUUAUUUGAUUUUUCAAUUAUCACAAAUCUCAGUUAUGACCGAAAACGAACGGCUUGGUCUUGAGUUUUGCUUAACGUAUCUGGCCAAAGAAGCAGCAGCAGCCCUGAUUUCGAUAAACUUGUCUAUUUAACCAACGUGUGUAUGUCACCAGAAGAAAAUCAGUUAGGUUUUACGUACUUAUCAAAUCUAAUAACUUCCGUACGGGCAUCGACAGUUCAUGCAUGAGACGCAUCUUGAAGUAUUGGACCAGCAGCAGCGUAGUAUAUGUAGGCCGAGUUUAGUUCCAAAAUUUAUCUUCAAACUUUCAAUUUUUCCAUCACAUUAAAACUUUCCUACACACAAACUUUCAACUUUUCUAUCACAUCGUUCCAAUUUCAACCAAACUUUCAAUUUUAGCGUGAACUAAACACACCCGUAGUCGUAGUAAGAAAAUAUUAACUUCCGUACGGACAUUGACAGUUCAUGCAUGGGAUGCCUAACAUCUUGGAGUAUUGGACCAUCAGCAGUGUAAUAUACGUAGUCGUAGUAAGAAAAUAUUUAGUUACUGGUGUAAUGAUGUAGUCCACAUAAAAUGAUGCUCCCUCCGCCCUCUAAUAUAAGGGAUUUUGACAAUUCAUGCAUGGGAUACUUAACAUCCUGGAGUAUUGGACCAACAACAGCCUAGAAUACGUAGUAGUAGUAAGAAAAUAUUUAGUUAGUGGUGUAAUGAUGCCGUCCACAUAAAUGAUACUUCCUCCGUCCUCUAAUAUAAGAGAUUUUGAUAUUUUGCUUGUAUGUUUGACCAUUCAAUUUAUUCAAAAAUUUUGAAAUUAUUAUUUAUUUUUUUUGACUUACUUUAUUAUCCAAAAUACUUUAAGCACAACUUUUCGUUUUUUAUAUUUACACAUAUUUUUAAAUAAAACGACUGGUCAAACAGUACAAGCAAAAUAUCAAAAUCCGGGACGAAGGGAGUAACAUUUAGUUAGUGGUGCGCUGGUGCAAUUCCCCGUGUUUGAUUUGGUUGUCCAGAAUUGUUUUUUUUUUUUUGGGGACGGAGGGAGUACAUACAACAUGCGUAGCGUUGCUGACUUGCUGCAGGUACAGAGAUAAUCAGACAAGCAGCCAAGGCUUUCAAUCUGGUUGGCAAAGUUGAUCCAAAAGUUCCGAGUCACCCAUAGCAUCAUGCAUGCGUAGUGCUGCCUUGGCGACCAGCAACAUUGUCACCACAGCACAUACUAACAAAAAAGACAACUUCAGAAUCAGACGAAAGAGCACGAACUACUGUUGGGAAGUAAGAACCUGAAAGACAUCAACAGCAACUGCGAGAACGAGAUCUGGCCAGCCAAAAGGACAAGAAACUUUAGUUCACAUAGAAUGAGCAAAAGCAUCAUAUGCUCUCCAAUUCCAAAAUUCAGUAGGCAAUUGAAUACAAGAUCCAUGAGUAACAAGUCCAAACUUGAUGCCUAUCCUACAACUAACCGGCAUGGAAAAACUCGGAAUGUUGCAUUUUACAGAGCAGCGAUUCUUCAACCCUAUGCUACUCAAGAUAACAUGUCCUUCUCCAGUGUAUCCUUCAUUCAUCGCUAUGGUGUUUCUUCUUUUUCUUCUUCUCUUUCUUGCCAGACUCCUCGGUUUCCAUGGCAACAUCCUCGGCAUCUUGUGAAUCAGAUUUCUUCUUUUUCUUCUUCUCCUUCUUCUCACCUUCUGUAGUGGCCACUGGAGGUUCCUCGCUCUCCUUGGACGUCUUUUUCUUUUUCUUGCCACCGUCAGCAUCGGCCGCAGGAGAUUCCUCGCUCUCUUUGGACUUCUUUUUCUUCUUUUUCUUUUCACCUUCUUGGUCACCAUCCUCUUUAGUGGUCUUCUCUGCUGGUGCAGGCUCCGUCUCUUGAUGUUUCCUCUUCUUCGAAGCACCUUCAGGCUUCUUUGGAGUUUCUUCAGUGGAUUGUCCAAGUACCAGAUCAGCCGCAGGAUUGUAUGUCUGGGAUCAAGUGCAAAGCAUCAGGUUGAGAUGACUUCUGAAUAACAGAUGCUUACACAAGUAAAAAGAGUGCCUUGGUACCAAUAACAGAUGUUUGCUAAGUAUAAAAUGUUAGUAAUAUACACAAGACAUCUUUACAGUGACCGGUCAAAAUGUUAGGUAUCUAACAAAGAACAACUGCCUUGACAACUAGUAUUUUUCUUCAAGUACUGGUUAAGAAUAACACAAGACGUUAAGCUUCCUGAAAAUACUUUCAAGAGAGAAUUCGUGAUACCACCUACCUUAGCAGGAGUGAUUAAAGCCCCAGCACCCUUCUUCCGGUCCUUUUCAUACACUUCUAUCUUGGGCUUUCCUUUAGUGGAACCUGCAGACCUGCCAAGUUCUUUACCCUCGAGAACACGAAGCCGCGUCUCAAGCUGUCCAAAUGGAUCACAUGUCAAUCUCAAUGGGUCAGAAAAUAUUAUGGACAAAGGAAAUGUAUUUCCACAAAGUAAAUACCUUGACUCGACUCUCUAGACCAAUGGAGUUGUCUUCACCAUCACCAAGGGCAUCAUACCGAAUGGCAAGAGCAGUUUUUGCUGCAAGAGAACGAGAAAUCUUUCCCUUGUGCUUUGGAGCUGCUUGACCAAUUAGGGAUGCAUGGUAAAUGAGACCAUACUUCGGCGUAGCAUGUUUUGUCUUGAGAGCUCUGAACAAAGCCUGAAAAAAGAAAAACAGAUGUCAGCACAACACAGAAAAAUUGAGUUGUUUGAAUCAAACUUACCUCCCAGACUUAGACAGAAAUAUAAGGAGAUGAAAAAAAGGAAAGUUACACAAAACAACAAUCAAGCAUCCCUUCCCCAUGUGCCUAGAGAACCCAUCAUCCAAGGGACAAUUUUGCAUAAACUACAAAGAGUGGAAAAUAAUUAAAGAGUUCAAGGUUCACAAAUAGCAACUGACCUUCUCUGCACCAAGUAUCUGAAUUGUGCUGCCCGGCUGCUUGGCCAGAUUUACCAAACUGCCACCGUGUGCAAUAAGUCGAGCACCAACCAAUUCGCCCACAAGUGCAGUCAAAUUUGGUGCGAUAGUGUUCAUCCUGCUUCUCAGAUAAUCAAACAGCUGGGCUCUGUACUCAGAAAGAGCCAACACCUGAUCACACAGCUCCCUGAUAUUUAGCAAAUCAAGUUCACUAACUUCUGUUCCCAUGGAUAUUACUGCCGCCUCUUUUAACUGUGCUUCAACCUCAUCAUCUGAGAGUAUCUGGAAAAAAGCAUUUGCUUCAUAUUCAAGAACCAGUUGUGGUGUAUAGUCAUGGCCGUUAAAUUCAGAUCAGGUAUGUCCAGAAUUUACCUCAGAGAAAUCAAGGCUUUCUGCGUUAGUCCGAUCACCCAUCAUCUUCACAACUUUUGCGUACUGUAUGUUAUCAGCUACAAUUUUAGUGAGCUCUGGGAAGUGCCACCCAUACCAUUCACGAACCCUCAUGGCGUAAGUGUUGAGCUCCUUAUCAAGAUCAUCCAAUAAUCCAAUGGCCUGAAUGAUCAUAGUAUCAACCUGUAUAACCAGAAACAAUUUACCUCAGUUAGCUUGUCAGGAUGGGGUCAUGUACAAAUAAAAACAGUAACGUUAACCUCAGUCCAUCACAAUGCUGAAGUGCUAGACUAAUUAAUUGCAAAUGGAAGUUAAAUGUAAAGUUAACAGAAGCAUGGCAUUGAAAAAUCUAGUUUGGAAACUAACAAAAGAUAAUGAUGUUGAUUCAUAUGACUCAGAGCCAGGAAGAAGCACUGGAUAGCGUGAUCAAUAAAUAUGAAUAGUGGAAUAAAUAAAAGACUAACCUUUUCAGGACUGAACUUCAGCUUAUAUCUAGACAGGCUGUGGGACAAUCCAAGGCUCAUUGGACCAAGGUCUUGUGCACCCAAACCAGAUAUAAGUUCAGUGAGCUGGUUCCUUAACCCUCUCAUGAGCUCCAUCACAGCACUGUUAUGAAGGCAAUCAAUUUUCUGCAAAAGCACGUCAAAUUAUAAGCAUGAUUGUUUGUUCAACAUAAACAAAGCAACCAAGGAACCUACUAACCAGCUUCUCCUUUAUAGCAUUUCCAAGUUUAGAGUCAGCUACAGCUAACGUUUCACCCUCACAGUGCUUCUGCAAGAAUUUGCGCAAACCCUUGGUAGGCUUGCUGUCAAUAAUGAGGGUUGCAGCUGAAAGGGCAUCGGAGGUGUUCUCAAACUUGUUGAAAGCCUUCAGCUCGACCACCUGAAUAUAGUUAAUUUGUUUGGUCAGGAAAGAAAAUCAACUCAAAAUAAUAAAAUAAACAGUAGUAAGAGGAAGAUAUGGAGAUGCUCAUCACAAUUCAAAGUAGAAAAGUAACACAGCUUAUGUAUAUAAUACUGUUCUCCACACCAUGUCAUUCCAAUGUGCAUCAGGGCAUUUAUAUUAUAGGAGACUGAACUAACCAUUACCCUCUUCUCUCACCAUACAAAUUACACAUCCAAAACAAAACUGCGGUUCAGAGCAUCAGAGAAUUAUUACUCAGUUGUAUUUUUUUAUUCCUGAAAAUCACUUUGCUUCUCUCAAAGUCACAAAACCCCAAAAAGAAAGAAGGUUGUAAUCACCUAUGUUGAAUCAACCUACUGAAGCCAUGGGUCCUGGCUUAUUUAACUCCAUAAAUAUGAGAUAUCUUGUGCAAUAACGAGAUUAUUAAAUAAAAAAAGAAGAAGAAUAUUUUGUCCUGGG